Molecule: ribosomal RNA, 253 nt
Filed under: uncultured bacterium
Lineage: Bacteria
Description: partial 16S ribosomal RNA
Rfam family: Bacterial small subunit ribosomal RNA
Source: RNAcentral
UACGUAGGGGGCGAGCGUUGUCCGGAAUUAUUGGGCGUAAAGAGCUUGUAGGCGGUCUGUCGCGUCUGCUGUGAAAAUCCGGGGCUCAACCCCGGGUCUGCAUUCGAUACGGGCAGGCUAGAGUGUGGUAGGGGAGAUCGGAAUUCCUGGUGUAGCGGUGAAAUGCGCAGAUAUCAGGAGGAACACCGGUGGCGAAGGCGGAUCUCUGGGCCAUUACUGACGCUGAGGAGCGAAAGCGUGGGGAGCGAACAGG